Transfer RNA from Monoraphidium neglectum, 73 nucleotides. It matches the Rfam family "tRNA". Rfam says of the family: Transfer RNA (tRNA) molecules are approximately 80 nucleotides in length. The record is from Rfam. NCBI's taxonomy places the organism in Eukaryota, Viridiplantae, Chlorophyta, Chlorophyceae, Sphaeropleales, Selenastraceae.
GGGAUCUUAGCUCAGUUGGUAGAGCACCUGCUUUGCACGCAGGGGGUCAGGAGUUCGACUCUCCUAGGUUCCA